This 207-nucleotide long non-coding RNA is filed under the name Mytilus galloprovincialis (Mediterranean mussel). The record is from RNAcentral. Lineage: Eukaryota; Metazoa; Mollusca; Bivalvia; Mytilida; Mytilidae.
GAAAGGUUCUGAAUAUAUCUAAUAAUAAUACACAUUUUUUAUGUAACUGGUGAGGUAUCAGUUACAACUAUAUACAACAAUGUCAAAAAGAGGUAUUCUGAUUAAAUUCACUUGGGAUUUUCUCUUAUGGUAAUUUAUUUUCUUAUUAAGAUAGCAGGACUCAGCCUUCUUGUGUAUUUAUCUGACACACCAACAUAUUAUCUCUUG